CGUUUAUUUUAUGUAAUAAAAGAAGCUUUCUGGGUUUGAAAACUACAACGAUAAAAAAUAACAUACAUUUAUAAGUAUUGUUUCUGAUUGCCUAUUUCCCCUUAAACAAUUGACAUGGUUACCUUGAUAAUCUCAAUUUGCCACUAAAAGUUUGUUUGAUAGUCUUGAAUCUUCUGUUGAAACUAUUAACAUACGAAGAUACUAGUUGUUUCAUUGCCAAUCACACAACAUCUCUAUAUUAUUUCUACCUCUCUCUCUCUGUCCCUAAUCAAAAUUAAUUAGUCCUUUCCACGUUUUCCAAGUAAAAUGGUUCGUCUUAGCAGGGUGAAAUGCAAAAGCGCAUGAACUAUACGAAACAAUAUGAGAAAUAUCUAAGCGACAUAUUAAGAAACAAACAUUUAUCUUAAGAACAAAAUUUGGCAGAAGAAGAAAAAAAAUAAAAAUAAUAAUAAUAAUCAGAACAAAUACAAUAGGUCUUUCCACAGAAAAGUGGAAAGACCUGAUAAUAAUCAGAAAGAAUACAAUAAGUCUUUCCACAGAAAAGUGGAAAGACUAAUAAUCAGACGAAAUACAACAGGUCUUUCCACAGAAAGUGAAAAGACCUAAUAAUAAUAAUUAUUAUAAUCAGUACAAAUACAAUAGGUCUUUCCAAAGAAAAGUUGAAAGACCUAAUAAUCAGAAGAAAUACAAUAGGUCUUUCCAUAGAAAAGUGGAAAGACCUGAUAAUCAGAAGAAAUACAAUAAGUCUUUCCACAGAAAAGUGCAAACACUUAAUAAUAAUAAUAACAAUCCGAAC
This 796-nucleotide long non-coding RNA is filed under the name Mytilus galloprovincialis (Mediterranean mussel). Lineage: Eukaryota; Metazoa; Mollusca; Bivalvia; Mytilida; Mytilidae. The record is from RNAcentral.